This 64-nucleotide transfer RNA is filed under the name Dendrocerus sp. ZJUH_2016009. RNAcentral's name for it is "tRNA-Thr". Lineage: Eukaryota; Metazoa; Arthropoda; Insecta; Hymenoptera; Megaspilidae. The record is from RNAcentral.
AGCUUUAUAGUUUAACUAAAACAUUAAUUUUGUAAAUUAAAAUUAUUUUUUAAAAUUUAAGCAA